UUGAAACACCGGUUCUCGUCCGAUCAACGAAGUUAAGCAAUGUUGAACCUCGUCAGCACAAAGAUGGGUGAACGUUGGGGAAUACCAAGUUCUGUAAU
Molecule: non-coding RNA, 98 nt
Organism: Acanthosepion pharaonis
Lineage: Eukaryota; Metazoa; Mollusca; Cephalopoda; Sepiida; Sepiidae
Source: the annotation of a GenBank genome assembly